Long non-coding RNA from Rhineura floridana, 267 nucleotides. RefSeq lists it as uncharacterized. The transcript is spliced from 3 exons. Lineage: Eukaryota; Metazoa; Chordata; Lepidosauria; Squamata; Rhineuridae. The record is from RefSeq and is a predicted model, not a curated record.
GGAGAAAAUAAGUAGAAGCAGCUGUAGCUGAUAACUGGCAUUCGGACAGAGAGAGUUCCAAAAUGGCAAAAGUGAAAUUGAGAAGGAGGAAGCUGAUGCACAGUGUGACCCCCCAGAUUGAAUCACCCAGAUCCUGCUGCUUGAGAGGCACCCGUCUAUACUACCUCUUGUGCUAGGGACAGCUCUGGAUUCCCUGCCACUCCACAGUGUAAAUGCUGAGAAUCUUGAAUUAUGUAUGAGUGGCACUAGAAGAUAUGAUGCUGGAAU